This 386-nucleotide ribosomal RNA is filed under the name uncultured bacterium. RNAcentral describes it as "bacterial SSU rRNA". It matches the Rfam family "Bacterial small subunit ribosomal RNA", at positions 28 to 415 of the family's 1533-position model. The record is from RNAcentral.
GACGAACGCUGGCGGCGUGCUUAACACAUGCAAGUCGAGCGGUAAGGCCCUUUCGGAGGUACACGAGCGGCGAACGGGUGAGUAACACGUGGGUGACCUGCCCUCAGCUCUGGGAUAAGCCUGGGAAACCGGGUCUAAUACCGGAUAUGACUCCAUGACGCAUGUUGUGGGGUGGAAAGCCUUGUGCGGCUGAGGAUGGGCCCGCGGCCUAUCAGCUUGUUGGUGGGGUGAUGGCCUACCAAGGCGACGACGGGUAGCCGGCCUGAGAGGGCGACCGGCCACACUGGGACUGAGACACGGCCCAGACUCCUACGGGAGGCAGCAGUGGGGAAUCUUGCGCAAUGGGCGAAAGCCUGACGCAGCGACGCCGCGUGAGGGAUGACGCC